RNAcentral lists this long non-coding RNA (3918 nucleotides) under Sus scrofa (pig). RNAcentral's name for it is "lncRNA (ENSSSCG00000061396.1)". The record is from RNAcentral. Lineage: Eukaryota; Metazoa; Chordata; Mammalia; Artiodactyla; Suidae.
AAGACAGGAUCCAAGACUGGGGGUGAGAUUUCCAAACCCCAUUACCAAUUAGUAAGGAGAUGGAGAGAAAGCAAUACUAAUUAUUUAUGAUGUUGAUUAUGGAACUUAAACUCAAUACUGUCAUGGCACAGAAGGUAGUUCCUUGUAAUAACUCUGUUGGUAACAGUAUUUGUAAUUAAAGACUAAAAAUUUAGCCCACUUGGCAAGUUUAAAGCAGAUUUUAUGUGAUCAAGAAGAGACUCACUUUGUUGUUGUUUUACUAUGUCAUAGCUACUUCUUCUUUUCUCUAAUUUAUUUGCUUUUCCUUUUCUUAUUGUUUGAAAUUUCCUGUGGUAAGGAGGAAAGUGGAAUGUACUCAGAAAACAAGCUAUGAGAAAUCUGAUCUUUCUUCAUCCUGGCCAAGGGCUGGUCUGCUGAACUGCAGGUGUAUUGUUGUCUAUGAAGCGGAAAUAUCAGGAUCUUUUAAAAUUAAUGAUCAUAUUGAAUGAUCCCUUUGUGGCCAUGGCACUCUGGGUUGUAUGUGGCACAUGGAAGGUGUUCAGGGUCUUAUGGGCAUUUACUGCCAGCUUCGUCAUCUUAUAUAAAGUAAUUCAGUGGAAUUUUCUUAGGAUGAUCUCGAUGUAAAGCUUAUCUAACAUGAACUCACCAAGAGCCAUGCUACUCUAAAAUAAUUUCUGACUGGCUUGAUAAAUUGUAUAGAUCUGUAACACUGUAUGGCCAAUUUUUAAUUUCUAAAAGUAGCAGAAAGAUAGAAAGGAAUAUUCCCCUAAUAUUUGGAAAUUAAACAGCACACUUCUACAUAACCCAUGGGUCAAAGAAGUAUGGCAUGAAAAAAUUUAGAAUGUUUAGAACUAACUGAAAGUGAAAAUACAACUUAUUAAAAUUUUUGAGAUUCAUCAAAAAUAGUAUUUAGGGGGACUUUUAUAGCAUUAAAUGCAUAUAUUAGAAAAACAGAAAGUUCUAAAAUCAGUAAUCCCAGUGUCCACUUUAGGAAACUAGAAAAAGAAGAACAGUUUAAGCCUGAAGCAAGCAGAGGAAAAUAAAUAAUAGAAAUUAGAGCAGAAAUCAAUAAAAUUGGAAACAGAAAAACAAUAGAGAAAAUCACCAAAGCCAAAAGUUGGUGAAAAUCAGUCAAUAAAAGCAAUAAAGAUCUAAUCUGACUAAGCAGGACAAAAAGAAAGAUGCAAUUUUCUAAUAAAAGAGAGAUCAUCACUACUGAUAAAAGGAUAACAAAGGAAUACUAUCGACACCUCUGUGCCCACUAAUUUGAUCACUUAGAUGAAAUGAAAAAAUUAUUGAAAGACACAAACAACCAGAUAUCAGAGGAAACAGUCUAAAUUACCUUAUGUCAUUAAAAAACCGAAUCAAUAAUAGCCUUCUAGAAAGAAAGGAGAAAAAGAGUCAAACUCAGAUAGUUUGGUGAAUUACACCAAACAUUUAAGGAAAAAUAAUACUUAUUCUCCACAAUCUGUUUCAGAAAAGAGAAAUAGAGGAAACACUUCUAAACUUGUUCUAUGAAGCCAACAGUACCCGAACACCAAAACUAGAGAAAGACACUACAGGAAAAGAGAACUACAGAGCAAUAACUCUCAUGAACAUAGAUGCAAAAUUAAUCCAAAAAUGAAUGAUACACCACAACUAAGUGAGAUUUAUUCCAAGUGUACAAGUGUGGUUCAACAUUGAAAAUUAAUUGAUAUAAUCUACCACAUUAAUAGGCUAAAGAAUAAAAAUCAUAUAUCGGUUGCUACAAAAAAAGCUUUUGACAAAAUCCAACAUGCAUUCAUGAUAAAAAUUCAGCAAAAAUUCAGUAAUAGGGAGUUCCUGUUGUGGCGCAGUGGUUAAUGAAUCCGACUAGGCACCAUGAGGUUGCGGGUUUGUCCCUGCCCUUGCUCAGUGGGUUAACGAUCCGGCGUUGCCGUGAGCUGUGGUGUAGGUUGCAGACGCGGCUUGGAUCCCGCGUUGCUGUGGCUCUGGCGUAGGCCUGUGGCUACAGCUCCGAUUCAACCCCUAGCCUGGGAACCUCCAUAUGCCGUGGGAGCGGCCCAAAGAAAUAGCAAAAAGACAAAAAAAAAAAAAAUUCAGUAAUAGAGUGAUUUCCUCAAUUUGGUGAAGAAUAUGCAUAAAAAACCUACGGCCUGACACCUGUGCAUGAUAAAAAUAACUCUUUGUAAACUAGGAAAAGAGGGGAACUUCCUCAACUUGAUGAGAGUGUCUACAAGAAGUCUACAGCUAACAUCAUACUUAAUGUUGAGAAACUUGAAGCUUUCCCACUAAGAUCAGAUUCAAGGCAAGGAUGUCCCUUCUCACUACUUCUUCUUCUUCUUUUUUUUUUUUUUUUUUUGUCGUUUUGGGGCCACACCCUCAGCAUAUGGAAGUUCCCAGGCUAGGGGUAGAAUGGAGCUGCAGCUGCCAGACUACACCACAGCCACAGCAAUGCCAGAUCUGAGCUGCAUCUGUGACCUACACCAUAGCUCAUGGCAAUGUCAGACAUUAACCCACUGAGUGAGGCCAGGGAUCAAACCCGCAUCCUCGUGGACACUAGUUGUGUUUAUUACCACAGAGCCAGCACAGGAACUCCUCAUCAUUCCUUUUUGACAAUAAUGUCUGGAAGUUCUAGCCAGUGCAGUAAGACAAAAGGAAAUAAAAGAUAUAUAGGUUGGGAAGGAAGACAUAACUGUCUCCAUUCAAAGGGAACUUGAACAUUUAUGUAGAAAAUCCAAAAGAAUUGACAAAAUUAUUGGAAUUGAUAAGUUAUUAUAGAAGGUUGCAGGAUACAUAUUUAAUACACAAAAGUCAAUUGCCUUAUUAUAUAUCAGAAAUGAACAAAUGGAAUUUGAAAUAAAAAAUACAACAUCAUUUACAUUCCCUCCCACAAAGGAAAUACUUAGGCAUAAAUUUAAAAAAAUCUGUAUAAGAUGUGCAUGAGAAACCCACGAAACUAUAAUGAACAAAAUCAAAGAAGUGCUAAAUAAAUGGAGAUAUACUCCAUAUUCAUGUACAGGAAGGCUCAGUACUGUCAAGAUGUCAGUUCUUCCCAACUUGAUUUAUAAAUUCAGUGCAAUUCCAAUCAAAAUCUCAGCAAGUUAUUUUGUGGAUAUUGACAGAUUCUAAGGUUUAUAUGGAGAGAGACAGAAGAUCCAGAAUAGCCAAACAAUGUUGAAAAAGAAGAGCAAAUUUAGAUGACUAACAUUACCUGGCUUCAAGACAAUAUGGUGCUGGUGAAAAACAUAGACAAAUAGAUCAAUGGAACCAAAUAGAGGGUCCACAUAAAUACAGCCAACCGAUUUUUGACAAACGUGCAAAGGCAAUACAAUGGACCAAAGAUGGUCGUCUUUUCCAUAAAAUCUGUUAGAACAACUGCAUAUCCUCAUUCAGAAAAACAAUCUAGACCUUAUACCUUUCACAAAAAUUGAUUAAAAAUAGGUCACAGACUUAAAUGUAAAAUGCCAAACUUAAAACUUGUGGAAGAUAACAUAGGAGAAAAACUAGGUGACCUUGAGUAUUGUGAUGAUCUUUUAGAUAUAACACCAAAAGCACAGCCCUGAAAGAAAUAAUUGCUAAGCUAGACUUCAUUAAAAUUAGUAAACUAAAUGACAAUGUCAAGAGAAUGAGAAGAUAAACCAUGGCCGGGGAGAGAUUAUGUGUAAAAGACAUGUCUGAUAAAGGCCUGUUAUCCAGGAGUUCCCAUUGUGGUGCAGUAGUUAACGAAUCCAACUAAGAACCAUGAGGUUGCGGGUUCGAACCCUGGCCUUGCUCAGUGGGUUAGGGAUCCGGUGUUGCCGUAAGCUGUGGUGUAGGUUGCAGACACGGCUCGGAUCCCGCGUUGCUGUGGCUCUGGCGUAGGCUGGUGGCUAUAGCUCCGAUUUGACCCCUAGCCUGGGAACCUCCAUAUACCGUGGGAGUGGCCCAAGAAAUGGC